Long non-coding RNA from Spinacia oleracea (spinach), 610 nucleotides. RefSeq lists it as uncharacterized. The transcript has 3 exons. The record is from RefSeq and is a predicted model, not a curated record. Lineage: Eukaryota; Viridiplantae; Streptophyta; Magnoliopsida; Caryophyllales; Amaranthaceae.
UACAAAGAAUAUAAAAAAACCUCUUUUUCUUUAAUCUCUUCCGUUAUGACCCUCAAAUGAGAUGAAAUCCCCAACUUCCUAACUUCUUUUCCUAACUCACCGCAAUUUUGUUAUACUUAAUCAUCCUUAACCUCUUCAUUUUCUUUCCCUUCAUUUCGUUGUACUCCUUCAAAUCUAUCCCUCGUAAUCAAUCUCCACAUUCUUAAAUAAACACCACCGUUGAAUCUCUCGUGCCACAAAUCACUGCUCGCAUGAUGAUAAAUUUAAGGAUCAACCACCGUCAACCACACAAAAUAAUACUUGAUCUUGUCCUUGGUGGUUGUUAGUAGAUCGAUUUAAUCUAUUGUUUGAUUAGAUUUAAUCAAAGGAGACGAAAAGAUUUGUUCUUGCAUAUCUUCUUUGUUCUUGCUAGAGAUUGAUCAAAUUCAAAAGAGGACAAAGUAUUUUUUUUUCUUCUUCUAUAGGAUAUACCUAGAAUCAAUGAGUUACGUUUAAGAUCUUUGUAUAAUUUAUUAUAUUCUUUGAUCUACUAUUUAUUCGUUACAGAUUUACAAGUGUAUUUUUAAUUGUAUGAGAAUUCCAUUACGAAUUAGAAAUGUUGACCUAUUCA